Molecule: long non-coding RNA, 631 nt
Filed under: Helianthus annuus (common sunflower)
Lineage: Eukaryota; Viridiplantae; Streptophyta; Magnoliopsida; Asterales; Asteraceae
Description: hypothetical non coding rna
Source: RNAcentral
UUGUCAAUCGUGUUCAACUUCUUCAAUCGUGUUCAAUUCCUCAUUAAUUUUGAGAUCGAGUGAGUAGAAGAAGAUGACGGAGAACGAGAAGAAAGCUUCGCCGGUUUCCGAUUAGAUCUGGACAUGUUGUGUUAUGGAGGUCUCUGCAGAUCCUAGUGGGAUUAGCAUGUCACCUUUGUAGGAGAGCAGUGUUGAACAAGAUGACAUAAAGGAUCCUUUCGGUGAGGUCAAAUGGGUCAUGGGUCAGCAGUUCAAAUGGUUUAAUCAGUUAUCAACAUUUGUUGGGAUGCCACGUUUUUGAAGCUCGUGUGGCUGUAACCCGGGCUUUGAAGGCUAAGGGACUGUACAAAGGGAAGAGAAAAAUGAAAUGAGGCUAGGGAUAGUUCUAGAAGCAAUGAUGUGGUUGAACCUGUGAUAAAACCACAGUGGUAUGUUAACUGCAAUGGUAUAGCUAAGGAAGCUCUUGAUGUUGUCAUGGAAUGCACAUAUAAGAAAAGUGAGAUAAUGCCAAAACAAUAUGCUGCUGACUGGAGAAGGUAAUAAUUGAGAUUUUUUCAAGUAGCUAAAAGCAAGAUUGUUUUUAGUUUUUUACUUUAUUAUGCAGUUAAUCAAUAUAUUUUAUUUGUAAUCU